RNAcentral lists this ribosomal RNA (864 nucleotides) under uncultured bacterium. RNAcentral describes it as "SSU rRNA". It matches the Rfam family "Bacterial small subunit ribosomal RNA", at positions 525 to 1381 of the family's 1533-position model. The record is from RNAcentral.
UAAGAGGUGGCAAGCGUUGUUCGGAUUUACUGGGCGUAAAAAGUGCGUAGGCGGCCAAGUAUGUCGGAUGUGAAAUCUCACCGCUCAACGGUGAAACUGCAUUCGAAACUGCGUGGCUUGAGUGCGGAAGAGGAGAGUGGAAUUCUUGGUGUAGCGGUGAAAUGCGUUGAUAUCAAGAAGAACACCGGUGGCGAAGGCGACUCUCUGGUACGCUACUGACGCUGAGGCACGAAAGCGUGGGGAGCAAACAGGAUUAGAUACCCUGGUAGUCCACGCUGUAAACGGUGUGCACUUGGUAUGGGGGGUGUUGACUCCCUCCGUGCCGGAGCUAACGCAUUAAGUGCACUGCCUGGGGAGUACGGUCGCAAGGUUGAAACUCAAAGAAAUUGACGGGGGCCCGCACAAGCGGAGGAGCAUGUGGCUUAAUUCGAUGCAACGCGAAGAACCUUACCAGGGCUUGACAUGUAACUGCAAAUCCACCGAAAGGUGGACGCUUUCGAAGGUGUUACACAGGUGCUGCAUGGCUGUCGUCAGUUCGUGCCGUGAGGUGUUGGGUUAAGUCCCGCAACGAACGCAACCCUUGUGUCUAGUUGCCACCGCCGGUGAUGAGCCGGUGAGCACUCUAGACAGACUGCCCGUACAAGCGGGAGGAAGGCGGGGAUGACGUCAAGUCAGUAUGGCCCUUACGCCCUGGGCUGCACACGUGCUACAAUGGCAGAUAACAGUGGGAUGCAAAACCGCGAGGUGGCGCAAAUCCUCAAAGUUUGCCACAGUUCGGAUUGGAGUCUGCAACUCGACUCCAUGAAGUCGGAUUCGCUAGUAAUGGCGCAUCAGCUACGGCGCCGUGAAUACGUUCCCGGGCCU